This 339-nucleotide unclassified non-coding RNA is filed under the name soil metagenome. Its description in RNAcentral is "partial contains 5.8S ribosomal RNA, internal transcribed spacer 2, and large subunit ribosomal RNA". The stretch from base 1 to 120 matches the Rfam family "5.8S ribosomal RNA", at positions 35 to 154 of the family's 154-position model. The record is from RNAcentral.
GAUGAAGAACGCAGCGAAAUGCGAUAAGUAAUGUGAAUUGCAGAAUUCCGUGAAUCAUCGAAUCUUUGAACGCACAUUGCGCCCCCUGGUAUUCCGGGGGGCACGCCUGUCCGAGCGUCAUUGCAACCCUCAAGCGCGGCUUGUGUGUUGGGCUUCGUCCCCCCGUGGACGUGCCCGAAAGGCAGUGGCGGCGUCCCGAAUGGUGCCCGAGCGUAUGGGAACUCUCUUCCGCUCGAACCGGCCCAUUCGGCGCUGGUCGAACCCCAAUUUUUUUUUACCGGUUGACCUCGGAUCAGGUAGGGAUACCCGCUGAACUUAAGCAUAUCAAUAAGCGGAGGA